UACCUACGGGACGCAGCAGUGGGGGAUAUUGCACAAUGGGGGGAACCCUGAUGCAGCGACGCCGCGUGGGUGAAGAAGCGCCUCGGAGCGUAAAGCCCUUUCAGCAGGGAAGAAAAUGACGGUACCUGACGAAGAAGCCACGGCUAACUACGUGCCAGAAGCAGAGGUAAUACGUAGGGGGCAAGCGUUAUCCGGAUUUACUGGGUGUAAAGGGGACGCAGACGGCGAUGCAA
Molecule: ribosomal RNA, 233 nt
Filed under: uncultured bacterium
Lineage: Bacteria
Description: partial 16S ribosomal RNA
Rfam family: Bacterial small subunit ribosomal RNA
Source: RNAcentral